CAGAAUAUUAUUAAUUCAGUUCUGAAACACCUUGGUCCCUUAAGAAAAAAAAUACAUAGGUUCAAUUUGUUACCACUGUGUUGGCAGCAGCUGGAUAGAGGUACUUAAAUGUCAAUAUUCUGGUCUUAGCUUGCAGUGGGUUCCUGGAUGUUUGAUUCAUGAAGAAAAAAAGUUAAAAAACAAAUGUUUAAAUGAGUGAGUGAAAAGUACGAACCAAUGAUAAAUAUGUUUUAUUCUUUUUCACGUCUGUUUUGUACCCCAGAAUGGCUGCCCCUUGGCUGUUUCAAUCAUUAUUUAAUGAUGAAGAUCUUGACUGUUAUCUGUGUGGCCAAGGAGAAUAUAGAUCAGGGUAAGUAACAGAUUAAGAUUUUAUUCUUGGUUUGGUUAUUUUGUUUAUGGAUGAUGGCUAUAUUAUUUAAAAAAAAUAAAUGGCUUCAUGCAGUCAUAAAAUCAAAUCAAAGAAGACCAUGCAUGGACCAGUGGUAAGAAUUUGUCCUGGCAAGGGUUGUGGUUAAUUCAUUUUGCAAAACUGAAAAAAAAUAGAUUUCCAUUGAAACAGUAGGUUUAGACCACUGCCUCUUAGGUUGAGAAGGUCAUAGACACAUUCUAGUCUUAGUCAAAGAUCCUCUUCUUGGGUUGAUUGUGUUUUCCUUGGGUUUUAUUAUUUUAUUAAAAAUAAUAAGUCAUUAAACAAGUUAAAAGUAAAUAUGCUAGUAAAAUUACAAUGGUCACUCAUGACCAAUAACGUGAUGAUUCAUGAAACAAGGGUCUAUUUAACUUGUCAGCUAUAUUACCACCCUGUUGAAGGAGUACUUAGAGACACAUAAUGCUCAAAAUUUUCCUUCUCGUUUGCAAGUAGAUCCUUUGCUGUUGACUUUAUUUUUGAAAAUGAGUAACUAAACUAACAAACAAGGGAAAAUCCAUAUAGAAAGAAAAUUAAAAUAAUCAGGAAUAUUCCAAUGAUAAAAUUUUACACAACAAGAAUUAUGAUCGAGCCAGUUUUGCUUCUGUGAGAUCCAUUUAUGUCAAAAGAUUUAGUCUGUUACCUUUGUAUAUAAUGAGGGGAGACACAGAUGUUAAAAUAUUCAUUGUUUUUGUUCUUGUAUUUUGAUGGGUUCAUGGGUGUUACUAUUACUGUUGUUAUUAUUUAGCAAAUCAGUCUAUGAAAAACUAAAUUAUAAGUGGCCAAAUCAUGGGCCACUGAUGGAAAUGUGUUUUGAAACAAGGAUUAUGAUUAUUGCACUUCUGCACCACUGGCAUUUCUGAAGUAAAACGUUUACCUUUUUUUAAUCUGUUUCAAUGGUGUGUGUAGUACUACUCCACACGUUGUUUUGCAAUAAUUUGGAUAUUUUUGCAUGCGAGUUACACAAUUAUUUUCUUCCAUUAUCUCAGGCACAAAUACUAGUGACCUGAUUUGUUUGGAGGUGGUUGGCAGGAGGCUCCUAUGCCCCAUAUUUAAAAGUCUUCUGGCCCUUGUGUCUGGGAGAGUGCUAAAAUAAUUGAUACUAAGGUACUAAUUUCAGCGGCACAGGUAUUGACCCGAAUCUGUAUCAGGCUCUGUGUUGGGCGUGACACCCACAUCUGAAUCCCACAGCUCUUUGGGAUUAGGUGGAAACCUACUUACAAAUGUAACAAUUCAGUAUAAUGGGGAAGUAGAUGAACUUUCCAGAAGCACAGAAGGUGGGCCCUUGGCUCAACCUUAAGUAUCAGAUGUUUUAUAGAAGAGAUGAUGCUUGAGCCAAUGACAGACUCACUAGGCUGUAAGUGCCAUGAAGCUAAGAAUCAUAUUCCUCUUACCCACUACUCUGCCCAUUGUGCCUAGCACAUACAGCGCAUGUAAUAAACAUUUGUCGGAGUCGUGGAAUGAAUGAUGAAUGAAAUAAAGCAUGAAUGAGUGAAGCAAUGAUUUAGUGAAUGAAUGAAUCUGUGUAAACAGGAAUGAAAAAAAUGAAUGAAAAUGUGAAGGAGUGCACAAAUGAGUGAACAAAUCUGCAAUGAGUUGAAUAAGUCAAUAAGUGCACAAAUGCAUGAUGAAUUAAUGAGUGGAUGAGCCAAUGGGUAAGUAAAAAUGUCAGCAGGUGAAUGAGUGAGUGAUAAAUGAACCGGUCAGUGAGUGGAUGAAGGAAAGACUGGUGGUAGGUCAAUGAGUCAAUAGGUGGAAGGUCAGUGCACAAGCGGAUGAGUGAAUGAAUAACUGAGUCCCUGAAUGAGGUUAUGAAUUAAUGAGUACAUGAAAGUUAAUUAGUAAUGAGAGAAUGAAGGAAUGAGUGAGUCAAUGUAUGAAUCAACUAAUAAGUAGAUGCGUCAAUGAGUAACCAAAUUAAUUGAUUAAUAAUUAAAAAAAUGAGUGAAUGAAUAAAUUAAUAAAUGAAUGAAAAAGGAAAAAGUUGAAUAAUUUAAGUAAUGAGUAAAUAAAUAAGUCGAUGAGUGAGACUAAUGAGGGAAUGAAUAGGCAAAUGGCUGGAGGAAUGAAUAUAUUAGAAAAAAUGAAUAAAAGAAUGAAUUAGUGAGUGAGUAAAUGAGUCAAUAAAUGAGUAUGUAAUCUAGGAAUAAAUGAACUGCUUUGUGAGUGAAUGAGUGAAUGAGGGAAUGAAUCCAUAAAUGAAUGAGUGAGUUAGUGAUCCAUGUGUGAGGCAAUGAGUGAAUGAACUCACACUGGGAUUCCUUCCCUGACCACUCCAAAGAAAGUUAGCCAUCCCGCAACCUCACAGCACAUAAUAGACACUUCAACCCAUCCUGCUCCAUCAUGGUCGUUUGUUUACAUGUCAUCACUGAACUAACUAUCCUGAGAGCCAGGAACGGGGUCAGAUUCUUGUUUGUAUCCCGAGCUCCUGCCCAGCCCUGAGUCUAGGAGGCGCCCAGUGAAUUAUCGCUGAAUGAAUGAACGAAUAACUAAAAAUACAUGUGCUUUUGUGGAACCAGGCUGGCCCUUCUCAGAAUGGUCUGGGAGCUGUUCUGUGGGGAAGCACGUGUGUGUCAGAUGCUCUGUGGCAUCCUCCUACGCAAGCCCAGCGUCUCCCUUGAGUCCAGCUUCCUGUGUCCACUGCCAGACGGUGAGACAGGAUACUGGCAGUUCUGACUGCCCUGGACGUUGGCCCAUCCUUGGGCAACGUUGGCUUGGCAUGGUGGAAUGGAAGCCCUGGGGCUUCCCGAAAGCUGCCCUUGCCUCUGCCAAGACAGGAGAUCGAAAAUAACCCCAUCUUGUUUUUGUGCCUCCAGCGAGUGGGCCUGCUUCUUGCCUUGCCAAGCAAACUGAGUCCCUCCUGGGUCUAGCUGUGGGACUCUGGGGUGGAUGUGAAGCACCUCUGGCUGUACAGCUCCAGCUUCGUCAGUGAGAUGAGGAUAACGAUGCCUAUCUGGCUGGAUUGUGCUCCCGAAUGGAUGUGAUACCCAAAUUCCUCUGUUCCAGAAGAAUGGAGAGUUCAACUAAGUUCUGGAAGAAUGCCAGUUUUGAUGGGACAGGCCAGCCUAGACCACGCACCUUUAAGGCAGCAUAACCUCCCCUUCUACCAGGGACAGACAACGAGAAAAGUGAGUAGGGGACACCUUUACUCCUUGUGGGGCAUUUGCCCAAGACCCACCCACCUACCCUCCCUCUCACCCUUCCCCCCUUUCUCCAACCCUCUCUCCCUCCCUCCCUCCCUCCCUCCUUCCCUCGACAGUUGUUUCUUCAGCGCCCACUGUAUGCCUGACACCGACCCCUGCUCUUAUUCUCUUUUCUUGGCUGGCUCUGGACCCUGGCUCCAUCCUGGUUUUGCAUCCUUCCUUUGGACUUGGUGAUGGUACUCCGUCAUCUGGCCCGGAAUAUAGCCCCUCCUUCAUGAGGAUUUGAUUUCAGCUCAAACCAUUGGCCUUUCUACUUCAGACUGAAUCAGGUAGAUUCCUCCUUCUUAGCUGUGGACACCUGGGACCCUAAUUUUGAAUCUUCUAGGUUGACUAUCUCCCAUCUGGGAAAUCUCCCGCCCUUCCUACGAGGAGUUGGGCCAUGUUGGUGGCAGGUGGGCCCUCUGAAUGCUGAGGGUGGGCAGCAGGAUCAGUGUCCAUGGCUUUGGUCCGGUGUCUGAGAUUGGACCGGCCAACAUGUGCAGAUCCGGGGACAGGAGUUAGGCUCUCACGUUCCCCAGAACUCCUGGGUAAAUGCGUUCAAGAGUUGCCAGUUAAUUUUAGUCUGGUACUUGCCACUGGUUGCUCGGCUUUAUGCUGAGCCUAAUACAAAUGUCACCUGCCUCUCACUCUCACAGUCCCGGGCCCUGUCCUUUGGCCUCCCACGUCUCUUUGUCCAAAUUUGUCCUUUCUCACUCAUUUAUCCUCAUCCAUACCCCUGACAGAACCCACGUUCAUUGUUAAUUAUGAGCUGCCAGUUUCUCCCAAAGGGCUAGGAACCUCUGGAGAACAGGGUCUUCCUUUUGUGUCUUUAGAGCCCAUCACAAGGUCUAAACAUUAGGAAAUGUUUGGUGAAUUAAUCAUUCAUCCUUUCAUUUAUUCAAAAAAAUAUCGGGCCCUUUCUGUGGUCCCAGAGGCUGGGUGAUAAAUAGCAAGAAAUAAGACAUACCCCUCUCUGCCGCUGUGGCGCUCCAAGUCUUAGAUGGGAGAGAGAUUUUAAACACGUGUUCAUGGCAAAAUUACUUAAUGACACUUGUGAUGAGCGCUGGGGAACCAGGGGGCCGGGGGUCGUUAACCUGCCAGCCGAGCUGGGCUUGACCCUCAGGAUGAGCUCCCUCUGCUUCUCUCUCGUGUUUUGGGGAGACACUGAAAGCAGGACAAGGCUGUAGCCGUGGUCGGAGCUGGCUCAUGGCUUUGGCUCCCUGGGGUCAGGUCAGCGGGGUCUUCAGACAUCCUCAGAGGCGAGAGACCAGUGGAUUUGGACUUUCUGUGGCUGCUGCCUGGCUGCCACCUGGGCGGCUGGGACCCUGCACACUUUGCGUUUCACUCAAGCCCCGUGCUUGAGAAGGCAGGCUCUGCUGAGCGUCAGUGCCCUGCCAACUUUGAGGUGUUCCUCUUGGAUGUGUUGCCAAGUGACAAGCUAAGGGUAGAAUGGAAUACGUAUCGACCUUUUCUCCUUCUCUGCCACAUCUCAUUCUGGGUUUCUCCUAAUGGCUGCCUGGAAAGCAUCCUGUCGCUAAUGGGACUGUAACAUUCAUGAUGGAAACCCAGCAGUUGGGCUCACAUUGUUGCGGUCACCAUCCCUGGUGCCUCCCUCCUUCCCCCGGCCCCCAGUGUUCCAUCCUACCCCGUCAGCAUCUCUCCAGGGAGCCCGUUGAGUCUACCUUUCUCCUCUCUACCGCCACCACGUCAGUCCAGGCUUCCCUCGUCUCAGACUGGCAUCGGCCUCUGACCUGGUCUCUCUGCCCCCUCCUCCAGGCUGUUCUCUUCACUGCAGUCAGUGCGAUCUUUCUAGAAUGCAUGAGGAAGAGUCCCCUGCUCCUUAGAGCUCUCACGAGUCCCGGAAACCCCAGGGUGAGGUCCAGACUUCUUGGUUUCACACUCAAGGAUCUUCAUGACUUGGCGUGUGGCCACACCUCCCACUGCAUGCUCCCUGGCCUCGUGUGCCACCUGGCAGACCCGCCCCGAGUCUGCAUGUGUCUGUGUCUCUGUGCCUUUGCACAAUCUCAUCCUCUAGCCCUCUCCUCAUAAGGCUUGGUAGCUGGAGGGCUUGUCCCCUCCAAGGUGGGAUGAGCACCCCACACUUGGAACUGUCACACCGCCUGAACUUGACCCCCACUGAGAAACCUGUCCUGUUGCUUGGUCGCGAUCUGUUUAGGGGCCUGCCUUUCCAAGACCUGUAGCUCCCCAGCUGUGGGUGCUCGGUCUUGGGUGCCUCAGACCACUCCCGCACCGCCCCCCCCCCCCCACUAUCCGGCAGAGAACCUGUGCAGGGUAGCUGAUCGAUCACUGAGAAUGCUGGUUGAAUGAAGGAAUGAAUGAAUGUACAAGAGAAUGCUUGUCAGGCCAUACUGGGGGACAAACUGUAUCCCUGGCAGAGAACUGGGGUCCUUGGCCCUGGAGAGUAGCACCUCCUCAUUACUGAGGCCUGUGCUCCUUCUCCAGCCAACUCCACUUUGCCUUCCGCCUGUGACUCAUUAAGAGAUAUGUAACCUUAAUCCUUGAAAUUGCCGGGGAUGAAGCAUGUUUUCAUUCAAUGGCAUGAACAUGGGGAUUUUAUUCCUUUCUUAAAUAAAUCUCACUCCCCCAGGAAGUUUGGACAGGAUGUGGGCGAUCGGACUAGGGGUUGAAAGUGGACAUUUUGCAAAAGGCCUGUUUCAAAAUUUGAAACCCCGUGGCCACUGGCCAGAGCUGAGUGUGGCUUGUGGGGGUCGCUGGGGCCUCCUCUCAAAGAAGGGAAGGGAUGAUUGAAAACAAACCUUCAGCUGUCACUGAGUAGGCUGAUGGCUCACAAGACAGAAUUCCGCGGUUUGGUUUUGCUUCUCUGAGGAAACUUGAGCGAGCUCGGUCACCCUCAUUAGCUCUUCUUUCAAGCUUUCGGCUGAGGCCUGAAGCCCUCCUGAAGCCCAGGGGGAGUUUGAGCUGGUGCUGACAUCAGUGGGACGAGUGUGUGAGUGCUAGAGGAGACUGCGGCCCUGGCCCAGGCCCAGGGGGAAGGAUGCUCUGAGGCAGGCCCAGGGGACCGUCUAGCCCAGCUCGGGGGACCAUAGGGGCUGGCAGCUCACCCCCCCCCCCCCCCGCGAGGAGGCACAAAGUGGGACUGAGGAGAAAGAAUAAUAACGUGACAUUAUGCCUGUUGUCACCAGGCACGGCCACAAGUUUUCUCUUUCAUCCCAAAGUGGGUGCCAUCAGUUCCUUGUUGUGGAGAUGAGCAAGCUGACCACUGAACUGCAGCUCCCAUCAGGGCCACAGUGUGGCCCAGGCAGCCCUGACUCCAGGUCCAGUGCUCUUCUUAGUCUUCUCCUCAGUGGGUACCCACCACGCAGAGCCAGGGCUGAGGCUGGCGCUCCGGGAUCACGGAUGCGGCUGGUUAGAGGGGCGGGACACGGGGUUCAAUGGUCCCGGAGACCAGUUCUCAGUGUUCGAGCUCUCAUGACUGGCUGUCCCACUGUCCUUUGCUGUCCUCAGCAAGUGGACCCUGGCCCUGGACUGGCCCCCAUGACAGGGAGAUUCCAUUGUCCCUUGUUUUCUUUUGACUUCUUUUUUCUUUUCUCUGCUAGGAAAGACAGCAGUUUGUCCCUUUGGAGAAGUCACCGGUGUCCUCCAGCUCUCCUUCACGCCCUUCGUCGGUAAAAGGGAAGGAGUUUCAUUCAUUUAUUUGUCAGAAAUCCUGAUGUGCCAUGUACUAAUAGCGAGCCUCGGCCCCUGAAUGUGGUGCUGGCCCGGGAGUGUGUACGUGGUCUGCUAGGCAGACAGCAUGCGGGGACACGUCGGGAGUUCACACCACGUCUGAGAUGAGGGUCAGACUCUUAACACACGUGUUAGUCUCUGGUCCCUUCCCUUGCUAAAUCUUCAAUUACUGUGUUAUAGUCAUUUGCUAGGAUACUGUGUAACUGUUAAAGCAUCACAAGAUAGGAAGCUCUUGGAUGGCGUGGGAAAACAUUCAGGAUAUAUAGUUAGGUGAAAAAAUUAGGAUGAGUCCAAUUAAAAUGAUGAUGAGUCCAAUUAAAAAUAUGUAUACAGGAGCCAGCCUCGUGGCGUAGUGGUUAGGUUCAUGCCCUCCGUUUUGGUGGUCCCAGCUUUGCAGGUUUGGAUCCCGGGCACAGACCUACACACCGCUCAUCAAGCCAUGCUGUAGUGGCGUCCCAUACACAAAGUAGAGGAAGAUUGGCACAAAUGUUAGCUCAGGGACAAUCUUCCUCAAGCACAAAGAGGAAGAUUGGCAACAGAUGUUAGCUCAGGGCCAGUCUUCCUCACACACACACACAAAAUAUAUAUAUGCAUACAUACAUGUACACAAGCACACACACACACACCUCACACUCUCUCUCUCUCUCAAAGGUGCCACCAGUUCUCGCUCACAUAAAGGCUAUCUCCACUUGCCUUCUUGUCCCCACAUCUUCCCUCCAUCAGGCUCCCCAGGCUCACAGGGGAUCUCAUUGUCCUCCAGCGAGCUUUGCAAAGGGUGAUGGUUCCUUCUUCCCUCCAUCUGAGCCUUGAGCUGGAGCCAAUGACUACCCAGCUUAGCCUCAGUUUCCCCACCCGUAAAAAUGGAAAAAGGAUGAUGACAUGAAUCUCUGCCAUCACCGUUUGCCGUCUGGGGAGAGAGGAGACUUCUCUCCAUUUGACUCUGGUCCCGACCCUCCUCCUCUCUGUCCUUCCAGAGCCUUGAUCCUCACUCGUAAUUUUGGGGCCAGUUAUUAUAUUUUCUUUUCCCUCGGAUCUGAGGCCAUACUUGAAGUGUGGGGGAGGUCACCAAAGGUGUCACAGAAGACAGAGAGAGUGACAGGGCCGCCUGGGACUGUUGGGUGUGAGUGCUUCACUCUGCGGGGCUCCUGGCUUGUCCUCCCAGGCCCCUUCUCCUCACCCUCCCUUCUUGGGGACUGCGGCUACCAGAGCUGGAUUUGCACUGGGAGGAAGUAGGGGCAGAGUUGGGGAUGGGAGAGGGUGGGGUUGGCUGGAAGACGAGGCCCCACCACACGGGGGUUAUUCUCUGGGGUGCAGCGGGCACCAAAGAAAAGGGUGAGCUAGAAAGUGCUGGGCAGAUGUUGGAGAAACCAGGGAGGGAGCGACCCCUCCUGGACCCCCAGCCCACCCCUGCAUGGCCCCCCAGAGAGCCGCGGAGUCCGUUGGUGCUGCUACAUUUACCACCUCGCAGAAGCCCCUCUUACAGAGAAGGAAACUGAGGCUCAGAUGUGCCCAGCCCAGCGCCCAGGUCCGGGGUGUGUCCCAUGUCCCCACAGCAGCCCCAAAGUUUGGUCUCUCUCCGGGAUGCACAGGCCGAAGAAUGUGAGGCAGAAGGGGGCUCAGUACCCGGGGCCUGGGGUCUGCUGUUUCCGUCAGUGGGGCUGGAGGCGGCAUCUUCUUUCCCGCCUGAGAGCACUGCGGCUCAUGUUCAUGGCUUGCUCAUCGGGAUGAAAGAACUUUACACAGUUUCCUGGCCACAUCUACCAAUUCGGUGACCCUUCAUAAAAGCCCCACAGGAACCCCAAACAGCAUGUUUCAAAAUACACAGAACUCAGGCCGCUGCAGAGCUCAGAGCCCUGCUGCUGGCCUGGCCCAUCAAGGGAGGGUGGGUCCAGGGCCACCCUAGGCCUGCCUGAGCUUGCCGCCUACCCCAGAGCCCACUUGGUGGUCACCAGCCCCCAAAUCCCCUCUUCCGUGACCUUGGGGAGAGCCUCAACUGGGAGGCUGUUCCUCCGCCUUCAGACCAGUCAUUUCUUCCACGUUAAGAAGAGUCCGCCUGAGCUGGCCUGCUGGGCCGGGGAGGCGGGGCUAUAGUUGUAUUAACAGGAGCAGAGUAGAUGGUGAAGCAUGGCUCCUGAAUCCAGUGUUGGGGGCGGAGCCAGGCUGGGGCUCUUCCUCCACAUCAAGGUGGCAGGGAGCCACAGGACCACGGGCCUGUAGGAAUAUCCCCCGGCACAGGGGGGUGCAAGUCCCUGCUAGCGUUCUAGGUCGGAGGUGGAGCCAUGGUGGGUGUAUGGAUGGGCAUUAAAUCUUUGAAAAGUUGAGUAAAGAUAGUAGAAGAGCCUUCAUGGACCAGUGAUGACUGGUUCAUGGAAUAAAGGCUGUCGUCAGUCCAAUUCUGUGUGUACCUGGAGUCACAGGUGAUAAUAGUUAUAUUAACAAUAGCGAGAACUCAACGGGCUGCCAUCUGAGCGUGCUGAUCUGCUAGGCCCGUCCCGGGGACCCCUGUGUUCCUUAUCUCCACCCAUGUCCCGGUUAGUCCUGAAACGGAGGUCCCUUGCCUCUCCUUCCUUUCCUCCACCUGCUCCAGCCUGUUUGCUGUGAUUUCCCAGUUCACACCUCCUGUGAGCUCUCUCACUCUGGGAGGAUCUCCCUGUCCCCCAGAGACCCCCUGGUGCUGCUCAAGAUUGCCCCAACAGACCUGCUGUGUUUCGUUCCAGAGCUGUGUCUCACAUUGAAUUACUAGGAUCCUGAGGGCCGGCUCUGGUCAGCUCCAUGUCCCCGCUGCUGGGCCUCACCAUUCCCAAAGUACCCCUCAGGGAGUGUUGACCCAUUCCCUAUACCCUUUUGGUCAGACACGCACUCAAACAGUUGCAUUUGGUUUUGUGACUCGGCCCUCUUGUCUUGGAAGGUCCUUCUGCAUGGAGCCUGGAGCCGUGAGGCGUGGUUGCUCCAGGACAAGGCUUCCUGAAGACACCUCUGAUGGGUGGAGCCCUGGCUUCGCUGGGAGGACUUCCCAAGGCGAUGCCCACCUGGAGGAAGGCGGUGGUCCCCAUGGCAGCUCCAUGCCCGGGAACACGCAGGUAAGUCAUCUGUGGCUGCAUUUGUCUGGCUUCUGACAGAUCACACAAAGCCAGCCCAGGUCAGUAUCCAGCCCACUUUGGAGGGAUGGCUGGUGUUUGCCACUUUCAGUGAUGGGCUUGGAGUCAGCGCAGCCCGUGUUAGGUGAAUGCCUGUUGCAUGGAGAGCAUGCCCUGGGCAGACAAUGUCGGUGGCUUGGACCACUGCCCCUCAGCCUGCAGUUUAUUCUGAAAGGAUAUUCUGGAUAUAAUGACAUCUUUGGGAAGAAAAGCUGGUUUCGAGAUCAAGAUGAGACCUGGGGGUCCCUGGAAUUGGUCUGGGGUGGGACCUGUUUAUUUCUAACAUGAAUUCUGGAGCUGAUUUAUUUUUAAAUCUGGAGGAAUGCUUGAUGCUAUGCCAAUUUAGGGGGAAAGGGCUUUGUCAUCAAUUCUAAUCCAGGAAAAGUGAGCAGAAAGCCGCCUACAGGCCAAGUGCUUUACCAGGGACACGCCUGGUCCACGGACCACCGUAUCCAAUCCAGCGCUAGCAGGCGAUGCUGCUGUGAGGGAGGAGGCUGUGCUUCUGUAGACGCUUCUUCUCUGUGGCACUCAGGAGAGGUUUCCUUGGGUGUAUUCAUUUCUUUUACGACAAGUCAUUCCCGCUGACCACUCUUCAGUAUCCAACACCCCUUGAAAGCCUUCCUGGACGAGACAGAAGCUGUAAGCCCCAGCCCGGGCUGAGUGAGCCGAGGCCGCUGCUUCCCUCUCUCUGCACAUCGUGUCUGAUGCUAACGCUCCUUCCCAGGAGGACGUCAUGGAGGCAACGCCACCGCCCGGGAAAGAAGGUGGUUCUCGUCCAGCUCUAAGGCCAAGGCACAGAGAAUCGCACCUUGUCUGGGAGACUGCUUGGACCCCUGGCCACUUCCAAGCAGCUGCCUGGGUGUCAGCCCCAAGCAGGCCACGUCACCUGCCUCUUGACCGCAGAAUGCAGCAUUUACGUGUGAACUCUCUCCUCCUGCACUGACAUCAGGAUGCAAACCAGUGCUGGAGGCGCUUCCUGAGGGCUGACUUCCAGAAGGAUGCUGUGGCUCCACCUUCAGGAACCCCAGUACCUGGAGAGAGGUUGUACCCUAAAUGUCCUCUGUCUUGGUGGAAAUGAUUUCACAGGACCGUCUUUCAGUAUCAAGUCUUAAAGGGUUUCUUGGCUGACCUGCGUAGGCCACUCUAGGCUCUCCGCUUAUAUAGGACACGUGACAUCCAGUUGAUCUGGUACAAUGUAGACUUGGGAAAACUUCCUGGAGGUGACACCAACGUCAGUGAAGAUUCAGAAGUUUUUUGUUUUGUUUUGUUUUUGUUUUUUUUUGUUUUUUUGAUCAGUGCUAAUCUUCGAUACUCGAAGGAGAGGUUGUCCGUGUUGUCUUCUCUUUAUUUAUGAUGAAACAUACACGGGAAACCUCUUUUUUAGUAUCAAAUCCCACCCUGGAGGCACUUCCUGUUCCUGAUGCGGCCUUCAGGGAGGGGACCUUGCCGCUGCACUCUGAGUAGGCCCAAGGAAGGUGGACUGUGUGACGUGAUGUGGGAAGUGAGGGGUGAGGGGUGUGCGGCCCUGAGGAUCCAGCCGCCUGUGGACAUCUCCUUGGAAGGGAAGCCAAGUUUGGAGAAGGGCCCAUGUUUCUGUGGUGGAGGGAGGUUAUUCACUGUGGUUUUCAUCCAUUCGAUGACUCAGGGUGGGUGGUGGCUCUUCAGCUGUGGGGUCUUGCUCCGAUGGCAUUCUGGACACACUGGCAGCAUCACUGAAGGGACUGUAGUGCCAUCCACUCUGCAGGGUAGCUGAGGGGAUGGUAGACCGGUGACGUGCACUUCAUUUAUGAUGUAGGUCACCCGUUUGACUAUCCAUCAGCACCCAGUCCAUCUGUGGGAUGGCAUCUUGGUGCACAUGGCAACUCUGGAGAAGAUGCAGGAGGAUUUGGGGCCAGUGUGAAUCCGCAGUGUUUCAGGAGGGGUCACCCUUUUGGGGGCUCCCCUUCCCACCUUUUAAAAGUAAAUACAAGCAAUCAUCAGUGAAUAAUCUCUGUGUCAAAUCCUGCCCAGGGGGACUAUUAGCCCGAUCACAGAAAAUGUCAAGGAAGAGGGCCUGGUAUCAGGACCCUUGCCAGGGGCAGGCCCACCCCAUAGCGUGUGUGGAAUGCAGGGUGUUGCCUGGUUCAGGGGUCCAGUCUGUUUUCGGGGGGGCUUGGGAUGUGUGUGCAGUAGUGCCAAUGUUGGGAGCGUCUGUGGUUGUGAUGUCAACUAUGUUCUGUGGUCCCUGAAGCCUGUCCGAGGAGCUUGCCACGUAUAUGAUGAGUGUCACAUGGCCCAUCUCUUUCCAGUGGUAAAUACCACCCUGGAGGAUGUCCUGGAUGGGAGGCCAGAUUCGGGCAGGGCCGUCGGUGUCUGCACCACUACUGGUGAGUGAAUGGAUGAGGCCGGAGGAGCUGGCAGUGUGGCUCUCAUGCCCCUUGUGGGCCAUGACCGCUUAGAGGCUAGCCUCUCCCUGGAUGGGUUUCAGGUCCACCAUCAUCACUUGGGGGAAGAGGCUUUGUUGCCAUCACUCAUUCUGUGUCUGUUUUCCCCCUUCGGCUGACUUGUGAGGAUCCAGAGAUGGGUUGUUUUUCGGCGUCACAUCCUACCUAAGACGCAUUCUGGAUGUGACAGCAGCUUCAGAGAAGGGACGUUGGCGUCGUCAUCAGUGAAGGACCGCUUCUGGAGAGAGGCCUCAGGGGUGCAGAUGGGCCGCCCCGUCCCUCGGCGUCGUCCUCGGCUGGCUGGCCCACUGUUCUCGCAGCAACGGCAGGGCCACAAGACAGCAAGGGCCAUCGGCAUGGGCCCCUCUCCAGGAGACCUGAAGGGUGGAUGGUGGACUCCUGAGCAUCUCCCUUGACCCGUUCGGCCUCAGCGUCCCUCUCUCCCUGGGAGGAGUUUCCGGAAGUGGUGCUGACUUUGAGGAAGGCAUCUGCUUGUCCCUGCUCUUAGGCUCUCUGUGACGGGUUUGCUGUAUUUGUCACAAGUCAUGCUGAAGUGCCGGCGGUUAGAACCAAACCACAUCUCGAAGGAACCAGGAGUGUCCUUAAGGCGGGGAGAACUGGCCUCAGAACCGUGCAAAGCACACGGAUGGACGGGUCCACUGAGAGCUGAUGCUGCCCUGGGGGCUGGUCUGAACUGACUCUGCAUCCUCGGUCCCCAUCUCUCGAGAUGCCUUACAGGAGCCGCUGACUCUCAGAGAAGAUUUUAUUUGAGAGCCCAGGACCAUCCUGUUUUCUCUGAAAUGGUGCUCUCUGUGAACAUUUGUGGCAUUGACAGUGAACAUUCUGGAACCUGUGUGCCCUGAGUUGCAUUCUGCCCGUGAAGACUUCCUGGGGUUCUGCAGCAGCAGCCGGCCGUCUGGGGCGGGUUUGCUUUUUCUGUGAUGGCGCCACCACUCCCCACGCCCAGCGUCAGCCUCGCCCGCGGGGGCCUCCCAGCCGGGCCACACUGCGGGCAGGGAGCGGCCGUGUGCCUCCCGCAGGGGGAGCAGAGGCCCUGUCGCUUUCAACACACGUUUCGUGGACGGUGUUUGCCCUGCCGCGCCACCACGCCCUGGCCCCCAGCGUCCCGUCACACCCAGGUGGCCUGCGGGAGGUGAGCGAAUGCAGACGCGUGCCCGCCGGCGCUAGUCUCUGGUCCCUGAAAAGAAGUUGCCCAUGUUAUUUUCGCUUGAUAUGUGACGAAACAAACAUGGUGCACUUCUUUUUCGGUAUCAAAUCUCAUCCUGAAGAGAUCCCUGGCCCCACUGGAACUUUGGGGAAGGGCCUUGGUGUCCUUACGCUCAUGGUAUGUACGUGGGGGAUUUGCCCCCUUCGACUGUGUGUUGGUGGGUCUGGGGGUGCUCGGUGGCUGGCCAUGCUCUGUCCAACCACAGGCAGCGUCCACCUCUAAGAACGGGCACAGCUGGCGAGGCCUCGGUCACGUGCCAGCUCCCCACUGCAAGGGAGGCCCGGGAAGCACGUUUCUGGGUUCUGUCCCAACAUUUGAGAGGAGUUCAGAUGCGAGCAGCCAGAGAACCAUACAACUAAACGGCAGCCAUAACAGCAAACAAGUAGCCAAUGUCGGUCAUCCGCCAGAGCUCUCCAGAGAUGGCGCGGGGGGUUGCCAGUGCGUGUAUUUUAAAGGUGCCCUGUCACCCAGGAGGACUGUCAUCCACACGUCCAUAGUAGACCUGAUUGGGGCCACCAACUGCAGUGGAAGGCAGCGGUCCCCGUGGUCGUGGGGGACGGGUUUUCCCAGAGCGCUCAUUCCGCUGGGACUGACCCCUUCCAGCCCGCCUCUUUCCAGGUUCUGCCUCAGAAGGAUGAAGGAUGUGUUUCUCGACGCCGUCAACAGAGAGGGGCCACUGGUGUCAGCUGCCAAUGAGGACCAGCGAAUGGGCGUGCCUGCAGAAUGUGUGCUCAUGAAAGACGCUGCCGUCCCGGUCCCUUAGCCUCCGCCUUCAGUCCAUCCUCAGGCCACCUCCCUAGAGGAGGGGCCGUGCGGCUCUGUGGAUGGUUCUCAUCGGAGGAGAGGUGAAUGCGCUUGAUUUAAGAUGAAUCAUUCUUGGUCAACCUCUUUCAGUAUCAGAUCCAACCUGGAGAAAAGGCUGUUUGAGCCGAGAUUCUUGGUGGCGUCUGCAGCUCCCUGGGGUAAGUGGCAGGCUGUGGUCCAGAGAGUGUGUAAGCGGCAGUCCUGGUCAUCUGGCCCACUAACCCUCAGCGUCUGUCUUCCCUAGCAGGAGUUCCUGGAGCUUGGCCAGCCGGGCUUACUCUCGGUGCUCCGUUUUGGAACUCAAAAAGAGGUUAUCUGUGUUUCUUCGCUUUAUUUAUGAUGAAAAAUACAGGCGCACUUCUAUUUGAGAUCAAAUCCCGUCACAACAGUCCAGCACCGACUUCUGGGACGAGAUGCUGGUGGCAGUCCCACUCGUGGCUCUCGGGCCAUGCUGGCCUCUGCACAUGCCUGUGUAAUGGUUGGCUCUCCUGCUCCACCCAUCCCCCAGGGCCUGUCCUCCCCUCAGAGAUCUUCCUGGAGGCGGAAACACCUUUGGAGAAGCAGCAGCUGUCUUCAGGUCAGGCUCAUCUGCGGUCUGUCAGCAAAGGUCGUCCAAGAGGGGCAGACACAGCUAACCUGGUCUACUUGUUCGAGUACCCCCCUUCUAGAUGAGGGGUGCCGACCUCGGGGAAGGCACAGCUGUGGGAGCACCUCCCCAGGGUUUCUGAACUGCAGGUGGAGGGCAUCCUGUGUCUGUCACAUGCCUCCAGGCCCAUGGACCUUCAGAAUCUCUUCAGCCCAGAGGGCCUCCUGGAGGAGUUCCGGUUCUGCAUUCCCUGUGGAAGGUGAAGAACAUUUGUCCCAUGAUGCCUUUGUUUUAUGCCCGAGGAACAUGAAAGGUACAGUUCUCUUUGCGAAUGGAGCCUCCUUCCCCAUCUCGGAGGGCUUCCGACUCCUGCCACUCAUGUCAGGGAGGGCACUGCUAGCUGCACUGCCCCAGGUACGUCCAAGGAAGGCCCCGAGGGAGCAUUCCGUCUCUGCUGGCGUCCGUUCUCCUUGCCUCAACUCCCACCAUCCGUUUCCUUUGCAGGAGGAUGCUCUGGCAGCCGGCGGAGAAACAGGGUCACAGAAGCUGGUCUGAGAUGUUCGAAAGGAGGUUGUCCGUGAUGUAUUUGCUUUGUUUGUGGCAGAUAUUGCACGGUUGAUCUCUUUUCAUCAUCAAAUGCCUUCUCGAAGGACUUGCUGCGCGGUGUUGGGUUCGGGAGUCGGUGUGAGUGUUGGCCCCUCUGAGGGUGUGGGAGCAGAUGGUCGACCAGAUGGCAAGUGUUUUUCUUUCUUUAUUUUCCAUUUUGAGGACCGAGAAUUUAUUGAAUGAAUCACCAUAUAAUCCUGUUUCCUAAGGUAAAUCUAUAAAGGUGAAAAAUUAGGUUCUACAACACCCAUUUUCUCUUUAAAAAAUUGACAAAGAAAUGUGAACAAAAACGUGUGCAACACAGUUUUCAGAUUUUUAAAAGAAUCUCAAAAUAUAUGCUGUCUGGUCCCUUGGUUUCUAAAACUUACUUCUAAAAGAAUGGAUAAGGCACAGACAUAUGCUGAAAAAAAUUGAAAUAACAAAUAUGAGAUAAUAAUGGGAAUUUUUAUGAAUAUGUCACAGGUGUCC
This is a long non-coding RNA of Equus caballus (horse), 16545 nucleotides long. The record is from Ensembl. NCBI's taxonomy places the organism in Eukaryota, Metazoa, Chordata, Mammalia, Perissodactyla, Equidae.